Molecule: transfer RNA, 72 nt
Filed under: bacterium
Lineage: Bacteria
Description: tRNA-Met
Rfam family: tRNA
About the family: Transfer RNA (tRNA) molecules are approximately 80 nucleotides in length.
Source: RNAcentral
GCCAGGAUAGCUCAGCGGUGGAGCACCUCAUUCAUAACGAGGCGGUCAUGGGUUCGAAUCCCAUUCCUGGUA